ACAACUUUCAGCAACGGAUCUCUUGGCUCUCGCAUCGAUGAAGAACGCAGCGAAACGCGAUAAGUAAUGUGAAUUGCAGAAUUCAGUGAAUCAUCGAAUCUUUGAACGCACCUUGCGCCCCUCGGCUCCGCCGAGGAGCAUGCCUGUUUGAGCGUCACG
RNAcentral lists this ribosomal RNA (159 nucleotides) under Phaeolus schweinitzii. RNAcentral describes it as "5.8S ribosomal RNA". It matches the Rfam family "5.8S ribosomal RNA". From Rfam's summary of the family: 5.8S ribosomal RNA (5.8S rRNA) is a component of the large subunit of the eukaryotic ribosome. It is transcribed by RNA polymerase I as part of the 45S precursor that also contains 18S and 28S rRNA. The record is from RNAcentral. Lineage: Eukaryota; Fungi; Basidiomycota; Agaricomycetes; Polyporales; Phaeolaceae.